GACGAACGCUGGCGGCGUGCUUAACACAUGCAAGUCGAACGAAGUGGCGAACGGGUGAGUAACGCGUAAUCAACCUGCCCUUCAGAGGGGGACAACAGUUGGAAACGACUGCUCAUACCGCAUACUGAAGGAGGGGCUUGCGUCUGAUUAGCUAGUUGGAGGGGUAACGGCCCACUAAGGCGAUGAUCAGUAGGAUGUCGGAGAGGAUGAACGGCCACAUUGGGACUGAGACACGGCCCAGACUGCUACGGGAGGCAGCAGUGGGGAAUCUUCCGCAAUGGACGAAAGUCGGACGGAGCAACGCCGCGUGAGUGAUGACGGCAUUCGGGUUGUAAAGCACUGUCAAUCGGGACGCGGUACCGGAAUAGAAAGCCACGGCUAACUACGUGCCAGCAGCCGCGGUAAUUC
RNAcentral lists this ribosomal RNA (408 nucleotides) under uncultured bacterium. Its description in RNAcentral is "partial 16S ribosomal RNA". It matches the Rfam family "Bacterial small subunit ribosomal RNA", at positions 28 to 526 of the family's 1533-position model. The record is from RNAcentral.